This 254-nucleotide ribosomal RNA is filed under the name uncultured bacterium. RNAcentral describes it as "partial 16S ribosomal RNA". It matches the Rfam family "Bacterial small subunit ribosomal RNA", at positions 524 to 776 of the family's 1533-position model. The record is from RNAcentral.
UACGAAGGGGGCUAGCGUUGCUCGGAAUCACUGGGCGUAAAGCGCACGUAGGCGGGUCGUUAAGUCGGGGGUGAAAUCCUGGAGCUCAACUCCAGAACUGCCUUCGAUACUGGCGAUCUUUGAGUCCGGGAGAGGUGGGUGGAACUGCGAGUGUAGAGGUGAAAUUCGUAGAUAUUCGCAAGAACACCAGUGGCGAAGGCGGCUCACUGGCCCGGUACUGACGCUGAGGUGCGAAAGCGUGGGGAGCAAACAGG